AUCUUUGCAGACUUAAUCUGGACACUAUAAAAGAAAAUGUGCAUGUGAAAAUAUGCCCAUAAUAAAUUUGUAGUGUUCAGAUUGAGUUUAUAACGAUUG
Molecule: microRNA precursor, 99 nt
Filed under: Oryza brachyantha (malo sina)
Lineage: Eukaryota; Viridiplantae; Streptophyta; Magnoliopsida; Poales; Poaceae
Description: MIR1878 microRNA precursor family
Rfam family: MIR1878 microRNA precursor family
Source: Rfam by way of RNAcentral